AUGGCUGUCGUCAGCUCGUGUCGUGAGAUGUUGGGUUAAGUCCCGCAACGAGCGCAACCCUCGCCCUUAGUUGCCAUCAUUCAGUUGGGCACUCUAAGGGGACUGCCGGUGAUAAGCCGCGAGGAAGGUGGGGAUGACGUCAAGUCCUCAUGGCCCUUACAGGCUGGGCUACACACGUGCUACAAUGGCGGUGACAAUGGGAGGCAAUGGCGCGAGCCUGCGCAAAUCUCAAAAAGCCGUCUCAGUUCGGAUUGCACUCUGCAACUCGAGUGCAUGAAGUUGGAAUCGCUAGUAAUCGCGGAUCAGCAUGCCGCGGUGAAUACGUUCCCGGGCCAUGUACACACCGCCCGUCACACCAUGGGAGUUGGUUUUACCUUAAGACGGUGCGCUAACCGCAAGGGAGCAGCCGGCCACGGUAAGGUCAGCGACUGGGGUGAAGUCGUAACAAGGUAGCCGUAGGGGAACCUGCGGCUGGAUCACCUCCUUUCUAAGGAUGAUCCUUCGAGUCCGCAUCUCGCGGAUUCAUCGGAUCACUUUUGGAACAAAUGCCGGCCAGUCAGGCCGGAUUAUGCGGGACACCGCCGUCUUCGUUUCUCUUUCUUCAUCACGGACAAUCCUGUGCCGCUCUUUGAUUGGAGCGGCCGGGGGCGUCGAGAGCUUUCAGGGCUUGGGGCUUGUAGCUCAGCUGGUUAGAGCGCGCGCUUGAUAAGCGUGAGGUCGGAAGUUCAAAUCUUCCCAGGCCCACCACCUUUCUCGCGAUCCGGCAUUUUGGGAACGCGGGGGCCUUCACGCCUUCCGGGGCCAUAGCUCAGUUGGGAGAGCGCCUGCUUUGCAAGCAGGAGGUCGUCGGUUCGAUCCCGUCUGGCUCCACCAUCUUCUUCGAUGAUGGCGCCGCGACGACCCAAGCCGAAUUCGUCCGUUGAUGAAGUUCCGAUUCCCCGCCGCGUUCGCGGCGGGAAUUUUCGCUCUAUGACAUCGUGAAGAGGCAAAUCAUCCGGACAUUCGCGCCGAGCAAUCGGAACGAAUGCCGUUUAUCGCCCAUGCUUGCUUGCAAGCAUGGCGCGAUCGACACCCACAUCCCCGGAUGAUUUGCGAAGUAAGCUGGUCUUUUCUCUGAAACGAGAAAAAAUGAAGGCGUCGAUUCCGUCUUCGACGAACGAGCAAUCGCUCGACGAAGAACCCUCUGCCGAGGGGUGGGCAUCGACGAUGAGAGCAAUCAAGUGCCUUAAGAGCAUCUGGUGGAUGCCUUGGCGCUGAGAGGCGAUGAAGGACGUAGUACGCUGCGAUAAGCCGCGGGGAGUUGCGAACAAGCUUUGAUCCGCGGAUUUCCGAAUGGGGAAACCCGG
This 1346-nucleotide small RNA is filed under the name uncultured Hyphomicrobiales bacterium. RNAcentral's name for it is "bacterial SSU rRNA". The stretch from base 1 to 487 matches the Rfam family "Bacterial small subunit ribosomal RNA", at positions 1045 to 1533 of the family's 1533-position model. The record is from RNAcentral. Lineage: Bacteria; Pseudomonadati; Pseudomonadota; Alphaproteobacteria; Hyphomicrobiales.